RNAcentral lists this ribosomal RNA (613 nucleotides) under uncultured bacterium. RNAcentral's name for it is "bacterial SSU rRNA". It matches the Rfam family "Bacterial small subunit ribosomal RNA", at positions 9 to 675 of the family's 1533-position model. The record is from RNAcentral.
GAGUUUGAUCCUGGCUCAGAAUGAACGCUGGCGGCAUGCCUAACACAUGCAAGUCGAACGAAGGCUUCGGCCUUAGUGGCGCACGGGUGCGUAACGCGUGGGAAUCUGCCCUCAGGUUCGGAAUAACAGCGAGAAAUUGCUGCUAAUACCGGAUGAUAUCGCGAGAUCAAAGAUUUAUCGCCUGAGGAUGAGCCCGCGUAGGAUUAGCUAGUUGGUGUGGUAAAGGCGCACCAAGGCGACGAUCCUUAGCUGGUCUGAGAGGAUGAUCAGCCACACUGGGACUGAGACACGGCCCAGACUCCUACGGGAGGCAGCAGUGGGGAAUAUUGGACAAUGGGCGAAAGCCUGAUCCAGCAAUGCCGCGUGAGUGAUGAAGGCCUUAGGGUUGUAAAGCUCUUUUACCCGGGAUGAUAAUGACAGUACCGGGAGAAUAAGCUCCGGCUAACUCCGUGCCAGCAGCCGCGGUAAUACGGAGGGAGCUAGCGUUAUUCGGAAUUACUGGGCGUAAAGCGCACGUAGGCGGUUUGUAGUUAGAGGUGAAAGCUGGAGCUCACUCCAGAAUUGGCUUUAGACUGCUUCGUUGAAUCAGGAGAGGUGAGUGGAAUCGAGUGUG